CAAACAUUGCUAUUUUGUCGCUCGAU
RNAcentral lists this microRNA (26 nucleotides) under Tribolium castaneum (red flour beetle). Its description in RNAcentral is "tca-miR-3831-5p". Lineage: Eukaryota; Metazoa; Arthropoda; Insecta; Coleoptera; Tenebrionidae. The record is from miRBase by way of RNAcentral.